Molecule: non-coding RNA, 139 nt
Filed under: Ctenophora environmental sample
Lineage: Eukaryota; Metazoa; Ctenophora
Source: RNAcentral
AAAAGAUGAAGAGGGCACGAACGGUUAGCGUUAUCAAAGACGGCUCCAAGAGCGCUGGAAUGAAGAGAGGGAGAAAAAAAACGCAACAUGAAAGGAAGACGCGCCACCGUUUUCACUCCUUUUCUCACAUAGAUUGAGG